This 509-nucleotide ribosomal RNA is filed under the name uncultured bacterium. RNAcentral's name for it is "partial 16S ribosomal RNA". It matches the Rfam family "Bacterial small subunit ribosomal RNA", at positions 28 to 523 of the family's 1533-position model. The record is from RNAcentral.
GACGAACGCUGGCGGCGUGCUUAACACAUGCAAGUGGUGCGACGAACCAGGCUUCGGCCUGGGGCAGAGCCGCGAACGGGUGAGUAACACGUGGGCAACCUGCCCUGUUGAUCGGGACAACCCGGGGAAACCCGGGCUAAUACCGAAUGUGGUGCCGGCUCAUGAGAGCCAUCACGAAAGGAAGCUUCGGCCUCCGCGACAGGAUGGGCCCGCGGCCCAUUAGCUUGUUGGUGGGGUAAUGGCCUACCAAGGCAACGAUGGGUAGCUGGUCUGAGGGGACGAUCAGCCACACUGGGACUGAGACAUGGCCCAGACUCCUACGGGAGGCUGCAGUGGGGAAUCUUGCGCAAUGAGCGACAGCUUGACGCAGCAACGCCGCGUGGGGGAAGAAGGCUUUCGGGUCGUAAACCCCUUUCAGUUAGGACGAAGCUUUAUUGGUUAAUAACCAAUUGGAGUGACGGUACUUUCAGAAGAAGCCCCGGCUAACUACGUGCCAGCCGCCGCGGUAA